Molecule: long non-coding RNA, 2268 nt
Organism: Cucurbita moschata (crookneck pumpkin)
Lineage: Eukaryota; Viridiplantae; Streptophyta; Magnoliopsida; Cucurbitales; Cucurbitaceae
Exons: 3
Source: RefSeq, a predicted model, not a curated record
GAAUUGUUGUAGCGGGUACACACAAGAUCACUUUUAUGGUAUGGAUUUAAAAUCUUUGAAUUCAAAUAGAUGUAGAAUCUUUUAAUUAUUGUAGCGGUUACACCCAAAAUCACUUUUAUGGUAUAGGUUUAUAAUUUUUGAAUUGUUGUAGCGGGUACACACAAGAUCACUUUUAUGGUAUGGAUUUAGAAUCUUUGAAUUUAUGAUAUAGAUGUAGAAUCUUUUAAUUAUUGUAGCGGUUACACCCAAAAUCACUUUUAUGGUAUAGAUUUAGAAUUUUUGAAUUGUUGUAGCGAUUACACCCAAAAUCACUUUUAUGGUAUAGAUUUAGAAUCUUUGAAUUGUUGUAGCGGUUACACCCAAGAUCACGAUCACUUUUAUGGUAUAGAUUUAUUUAGAAUCUUUGAAUUGUUGUAGCAGUUACACCCAAGAUCACUCUCAUGAUAUAGAUUUAGAAUCUUCUCAUUGUUGUAGCCCUUACACCCAAGAUCACUUUUAUGGUAUAGAUUUAGAAUCUUUGAAUUGUUGUAGGGGUUACACCCAAGAUCACUUUUACGGUCUAGAUUUAGAAUUUUUGAAUUGUUGUAGUGGUAGUAAAUCUUUUAAAAAAAAUAUAUAAUUCAACCAUGGUUGUUAUAUGGAUUAAACCAUUGGUCUUUAGGAUGAUAAUGGAUGCUUUAUUCAUAGCUACGCUCGGGAUGGCUUAUUUUUUUGUUGGUAGUAAAAGGUAUAGGGAUUGAACUAUUGGUCUUUAAAAUAAUAAUGGAUGCUUUAUCCAUGUAGCUAUACUCGGAAUGGCUUAUUUUUCGGUGUCUUCUUUUUACGGUACAAGUUAGAGAGUGCUUAAAUGAUACUCCUCCGAGUAAUUUCUUCUUUUUGAGUGGCUGUUCAGUGUAAUUUUAAUAAGCAAGCAUGUAUGCAUGCAUAUAUGUAUUAGUUUAUGAUAUCUGCAGCAAAGAGGAAACGGGUGUGGCUGGGGCUUAGAGACAAGGGAAUCUCUGAUGAACGGUGGCGUGGUUAUGGGCACAGGCAUGGAGCUAGCCUGACACUCACUUCUAAGCAUUGGAGGAAGAACAUGCUCGAACUCCUCUCUCGCCCCCACGCUUGCAACCUCGCACGCGUGCGUGCCCGAGCAGCAGGACUUUGGCUUGGUUUUUGCAGCAUGAUGGGCUCCCUCUUGUCCCAUCGCUUAUCAAGUGAAAGAAUUGCUCUGGAAAAUGAUGCCAUAUAGGUACAAACUUUUCCCUAUAUUUUAAUUAAGAGAUUAGGUAAAUGUUGACACGUGGAUCAAGGUUAUUGAUUAGGUGUAUAUUAAUUUUCAGCAUAUAGUUAUAAUUAUUAAGUGAUUUUAUACGUAUUUAGAGAAAUAUUUGAAACAAUCUAUGAUUUUGAAGAGAAUGGAUCUCUUCAGAAUCUUCCGAGUUAUUGUGGUUGGCAUAUGCCUUGAACCUAUCAACUUCAUUGCCAUUGCCUUCGCCUAUUGUUUCUUCUACAACAUUUCCAUUCAACCCAAUGACCCAUCCUCUCCCUUUCUCCUUUUUUGGAACUUUUCGUUCCUUUCCACCAUUUUUAAGGCUAUUUCCUUUUCUUUUAUUUGUCAUUUUCGACCUUAUUAAUUAAAUAAAAAAACUAUUGAAUAUGUAAGAGUGGAAGUCUACUCUUAAGAUAUUGUUCUCUUCGGCUUAGUAUGUAUGGUCUUCCGCCUCAUGGUUUAAAAUAUGUCUACUAGGAAGAGUUCAAGUACAUUCGUAGGAUAUUGUUCUCUUUGGCCCAUUAUGUAUCAUUUUCUACUUCGUAGUUUAAAAUAUGUCUACUAGGGAGAGUCCAAGUCCACUUGUAAGAUAUUGUUCUCUUUGGCUCAUUAUAUAUUGUCUUCCUCCUCAUGGUUUAAAAUACCUCUACUAGGGAGAGGUUUUCACACGCUUAAUGUUUCUGUCUUUGAUACCAUUAAUAACAGCCCGAUCCCAUCACUAAUAGAUAUUGUUCACUUUGGCCUAUUAAAACACGUAUUUAGGGAGAGAUUUUGGCCUAUUAAAACACGUAUUUAGGGAGAGAUUUUUCACAUCCUUAGAAAUGUUUGGCCCAUUAGUAGGGAGAGAAAUGUUUCGUUCUCUUCUUUAAUCGACGUGGGAUCUCACAAAAUAUAUUAUAAAUGCCUCGACCAAAAGGUCUAAGGCUUGAACUUCUACCCCCACAGGCCCACAUGUUAACAUCUAAUAAAAACCUACCAAAAUUAGUAUCAAGGACAAUUUUUCUAAUGUAUAUAUA